CCGCCAUCUCAGAUCUCGGCCUUGCGCAGGGCCCACCAGAGGAAAUUAACGCUCUGGUCCUGUCAUACCUAUGGGGGACCAACCUUGUGCCUCCGGGAGAUCCACGCUCCCACCAGGAAACACGCGGGAACCCAAGCCUCCAAAAAAGCGCUGUGUCCUGGCUCCGCGGUGGGAUUAUCCUGAAGGGACUCCCAGUGGAGGUAGUACCACUCUCCCCUCGGCGCCUCCUCCGGCAUCUACUGGACUCAAGUCGCACCCUCCUCCUCCGGAGAAGUAGUGAAAUAGAUUUUUUUCCCAGACGAAAUCAGUCUGUGAGGGAUUGCAGUAUGGUUCCGUUUCCUUGGUGCGUUUGUAAAAUAGUUUACCCAUUGAAGACCAUGAAGAUUCUUUCCAAUGCUACCCUGCUUUUGCUGGUGUCCUGCACCUGGAAGUUGUGAUGCUAAAGGCUCAUCUUAUAUUUUCUACCCCAUUGACCAUUUCUCUAUUUGACUGUGCCACUGGGAGACCGUAUUUACAAACUGAGGUCUUUCAGGUCUAUGGCUGGAUCAAUGCCCUUGUACUUAUUAAAGGGCCGUCACAUCAACAAAGAGGCCUUUUGGUAUUGUGAACCUUACAAGAAGGAGAGAGUUUGUAUUGUCUUUUCACUGCAUAUGUGAGUUACUGCCCAUUAAAAAGGACUGGAUCCAGG
RNAcentral lists this long non-coding RNA (688 nucleotides) under Rattus norvegicus (Norway rat). Its description in RNAcentral is "long non-coding RNA NONRATT030911". Lineage: Eukaryota; Metazoa; Chordata; Mammalia; Rodentia; Muridae. The record is from RNAcentral.